RNAcentral lists this ribosomal RNA (253 nucleotides) under uncultured bacterium. RNAcentral's name for it is "partial 16S ribosomal RNA". It matches the Rfam family "Bacterial small subunit ribosomal RNA", at positions 524 to 776 of the family's 1533-position model. The record is from RNAcentral.
UACGUAGGGUGCAAGCGUUGUCCGGAAUUAUUGGGCGUAAAGAGCUCGUAGGUGGCCUGUCGCGUCGGCUGUGAAAACUCGGGGCUCAACUCCGAGCUUGCAGUCGAUACGGGCAGGCUAGAGUUCGGCAGGGGAGACUGGAAUUCCUGGUGUAGCGGUGAAAUGCGCAGAUAUCAGGAGGAACACCGGUGGCGAAGGCGGUUCUCUGGGCCUUACCUGACGCUGAGGAGCGAAAGCGUGGGGAGCGAACAGG